UCGGGUGCGGGAGCCGAGCGCGCAGGCACGCGGCGGCGGCGGCGGCGGGGGCGGGCGGCCGCCGGGAGGGAGGCGAGCGGGCGGGGGAGGCAGGCGGCGGCGGCUCCCCGCCCGCCCACUCGCACAUGCUGCCGAGCCGCAGUCCGCUGGAGCAGCGCUGCCUCCGCGGCCGCCCGUGACCUUCUCGCCCGCCGGCAGCCGCCGAGGACCCCCGCGGAGGCGCCCCCGCCCGGGCAGGGGAUGCGACAUCGGCCCCGGGGAGCCCCGUCCAGCGCCGCCCGCCGCCCAGCAGCAGCCUCGGCCGCCGCCCGCGGCCCGGAGGGAGCCUCAGCAUGAACCCCCAGUGCGCCCGCUGUGGCAAGGUGGUCUAUCCCACCGAGAAAGUCAACUGCCUCGACAAGUACUGGCAUAAAGGAUGUUUCCACUGUGAAGUCUGCAAAAUGGCUCUGAACAUGAAUAACUACAAAGGAUAUGAAAAGAAACCUUAUUGCAAUGCACAUUACCCAAAGCAGUCCUUCACCACAGUGGCUGAUACACCAGAAAAUCUUCGCCUGAAGCAACAAAGUGAAUUGCAAAGUCAGGUAAAAUACAAAAAAGACUUUGAAGAAAGCAAAGGAAGAGGAUUCAGCAUUGUGACGGAUACACCGGAGUUACAAAGGCUGAAAAGGACUCAGGAACAAAUCAGUAAUAGCUGCUCGGCUGGGAGAUCCCAAGAGGAGUGCCCUGCACGAGGCCCUCGGGAUUGAUCUUUGGAAACUGGCAAACCAAGAAAUUGAGUUUGGAUCUCCUAAGCCCAAGAUCCUCGACAUCCGAGUAUCGGAUAGUGUGACACAGCUGCUUGCAUACUCUUUCUCUCUCUCUUGUUCAGAACUUGUUGGGUUUGUCUGUUUUGGGAAUGGGGAAAAUAAAAGCAAAUACAAGAAAUUUUGUGAGGUAGGAAGAAUGUUUUCUUCCAAGCUCUAUUUUUGAGUGGGACAAGGGGGUUUCUCUUCUAGCAGAAGACCUGAUUGUGUAAUUUAUGAUCCUCUCUGGCUCUUGAAUCAAACAUAUUUACCUGCCUUUUCAGAUCAAGAAUUUUUUUUUGACAUGAAAAGUAUUUCUUUUUUUUCUUUUUUUUUCUGUAGUUGGACGCACAAUUCCUGUCUCUUCAUACCUAACUAUCUAAUCUUAAUAAUACACAUUCGUUUUCUUGAGGUAUGUAGCUGACACAGAUUUCAAGUCAUGGAUUCUAUUAGAAAUAAUUAAUCUUGAAUGAUAAAAUCAAAUUUUAAAAUUUGCAUGAUAGAGGAAGUUGCAUUUCAGUUACGCUUACCCUAAAAUAAUUGUUUGAUUUAUUGCAUUACAUCGUAGAAAGAUAAUUCUGCAUAGGCCAAAACUUGAAUCUAAUUAAAAAACUCCUGUAGUAUAGAAAUGCAUUCCACACAGAGUAGUUUCUGUAUUUAGCAGAUAAACAGUAUACAUCAUGGACUAAGGAGCUAAGUAAGGUUUCAAGACAUUGAAAGUUUUGCUUUGAUUUCACCUUGAAGUGUUAGAAACUUCUCAAAGAUCCUAUUUGAAACAAAAUUGUAACAACUUCAUUGAAGGGAUUGUAGAGAAAAUUGGCAGGAGAAGAUGUUAACAGCGAGGCCUGGAGCUCCAUUUGUAGGAUUCACAGCGUCAAGCCUGCAGAUACUCGUUUCUAAGGGAUUCCCCCCUGCCCCCCAUCCCAUUGAAUUCAAGUGAAGGAGAAGAAUAGCAUGAAAGGGAACAAGAAAAACUGACAGCAACAUGAAUGUCUGCAUUUCACAAAGCCAACCAUGGCACAUCAAUGGAGAGACUGGAGACUUCUAGCCAUUGGAGUACAUGAGACCAGACUGCUUGGUGGGUCUGAGUGGCCAGCUCCAAAUGCCUUGCCAACAGACUGUCACAUCAAGAGAAAACCCUUAGCUUUUAGGCAAACCUAAAAAUGAGGGGACAUCCUGAAAACAAGAUUGUUCAAGGAAGACUAGUCAUUGAUGAAGAAGAUAUAAAGUAUUACAUUCUGUAAAAGUGUUUAAGAAAAUUCUAGGGUAGCUUGUAACUUCUAUUUUUUAUGGCUAAUACUAAGAAAAUAUUUUCAUACUAAAAUUCAAACACGAAGACAGAUUCUUAAGAAUUAAGAAAAUGUUCAUUAAGAAAGUUUUUGGAUACUUGGAAACUAUAAAACUGUUUGGAAGCAGAUGAUAAUAGCCAGAUUACUCUUUCUUCUGUAUCAAGAGAGUUUCUAAAUAUAAUAGGUGACAGCUUCUUAAAACAGCCCCUUAGUCUACAUGGGUAAUGCGAUAUCAGGCUUUGCUCUGAUACAGCAGACUUAAUUAGCGAUCUAAAAAGUAGCAGUAUUCGUGGCUAUGAUUUCGUCAUACUUCUUAUACUGAUUCCAGACAGUACUGUGUUAAAAGCCCCUAUUUACAAAGCUUAAAGCAAUUAACUGAAGUAUGAUGUAAUGUAACCAUAUUGUAAUAUAAAUGUGACAUGCAAAAUUACAGUGGGCAGAAUCAGUCUUAGUUAAGAGGUGAUACUCAUAAAGAACGAGAUAAAGGGGAUAAGCAGUGACUGACACAAGUUUGUGGUAAUAUUAAGUUAUUCAAGGCAUGGUAAGAGUAGAAUAUGAAGAACUACAAAAAGACUUUGCAAGAGUGAAUGACUGGACAGUGAAAUGGAAAAUGAAAUUCAAAGUGCAGAAAAAUGUAUGUGAAUAGCUUCAUGUAUAAUAAAUGACCUCUGAACUGACUGUUACCUCUCAUGAGCUACUUCUGUGAAAACAUUGUCUCACUGUGCAAUAGGAGUCAAAAAAGCAAAUUGAACAUUAUAAAUAAAUAGC
RNA transcript from Dromaius novaehollandiae (emu), 2839 nucleotides. It is a transcript of the gene named LIM zinc-binding domain-containing Nebulette-like, with no coding region annotated. The record is from RefSeq and is a predicted model, not a curated record. NCBI's taxonomy places the organism in Eukaryota, Metazoa, Chordata, Aves, Casuariiformes, Dromaiidae. The transcript has 9 exons.